UAAGUAACCUGCCCUAGACAGGGGGAUAACUGCUGGAAACGGCAGCUAAGACCGCAUAGGUAUGGACACUGCAUGGUGACCAUAUUAAAAGUGCCAAGGCACUGGUAGAGGAUGGACUUAUGGCGCAUUAGCUGGUUGGUGAGGUAACGGCUCACCAAGGCGACGAUGCGUAGCCGACCUGAGAGGGUGACCGGCCACACUGGGACUGAGACACGGCCCAGACUCCUACGGGAGGCAGCAUG
Molecule: ribosomal RNA, 242 nt
Filed under: uncultured bacterium
Lineage: Bacteria
Description: partial 16S ribosomal RNA
Rfam family: Bacterial small subunit ribosomal RNA
Source: RNAcentral